RNAcentral lists this ribosomal RNA (364 nucleotides) under Penaeus monodon (black tiger shrimp). RNAcentral describes it as "partial 12S ribosomal RNA". The record is from RNAcentral. Lineage: Eukaryota; Metazoa; Arthropoda; Malacostraca; Decapoda; Penaeidae.
GUAAAGUUUUAUCCUAGCUUGUUCUUUCAUUUUUAGGUUAAUGGUACAUGUAAAUUUUAAUGUUACAACAUAUUUUGUUAAAACUAAAGGUUAACAAAUGGUCUAAAAGUAGAGGUUUCUUUAAGAAAUAAAUUCUCAGUACCUAGUGCUAAUCAAUAAAUAUACGUUAGAAUUGGUAAUCCUAAUUAUAUACCUGGUUAAAAUUUGUGCCAGCAGCCGCGGUUAGACUGAGAGGUAAAAUGAAAGAAAUUUGGUUAAAAACAGCUAUAUUUAUUAAUUUUUUUCUUUUAAAGGACUAUAUUAAUAAAGGGUGAAAUCAGUUUUUUAAUAAAUAGUAAAAUAAAAGUCUUAAUUUUAAUUGAAG